CCUACGGGGGGCAGCAGUGGGGAAUAUUGGGCAAUGGGCGCAAGCCUGACCCAGCAACGCCGCGUGAAGGAAGAAGGCUUUCGGGUUGUAAACUUCUUUUCUCAGGGACGAAGCAAGUGACGGUACCUGAGGAAUAAGCCACGGCUAACUACGGGCCAGCAGCCGCGGUAAUACGGAGGUGGCAAGCGUUAUCCGGAUUUACUGGGGGUAAAGGGCGUGUAGGCGGGAAAGCAAGUCAGAUGUGAAAACCAUGGGCUCAACCUGUGGCCUGCAUUUGAAACUGUUUUUCUUGAGUACUGGAGAGGCAGACGGAAUUCCUAGUGUAGCGGUGAAAUGCGUAGAUAUUAGGAGGAACACCAGUGGCGAAGUCGGUCUGCUGGACAGCAACUGACGCUGAGGCGCGAAAGCGUGGGGAGCAAACAGGAUUAGAUACCCCGGUAGUC
Molecule: ribosomal RNA, 443 nt
Filed under: uncultured bacterium
Lineage: Bacteria
Description: partial 16S ribosomal RNA
Rfam family: Bacterial small subunit ribosomal RNA
Source: RNAcentral